Molecule: long non-coding RNA, 565 nt
Organism: Patella vulgata (common limpet)
Lineage: Eukaryota; Metazoa; Mollusca; Gastropoda; Patellidae
Exons: 7
Source: RefSeq, a predicted model, not a curated record
CUUGAAAUCACGGACCUGUAAGCAUGAAGAUCGUCUGGUGUCUACUCGCUGUUUUUGGAUUUACACAUUGUGUUCCAAUAGAGCAAAAUCCCAUUGGUAACUAUGGCCCGGCUGAAUUUGAUGAGAACUUUCCAGAAGAAAAUCCAGGUUUAUAUGAAGGGGAUAUUGAGUUAAGAGAAGGUGAAGAUCCUCGAAAUAGAAAUGCUAUUACUGAUAAAAGCAAAUUGUGGCACGGUGGUGUUCUUCCAUACUCUAUCUCUUCUGGAUAUUCUUCAAGUGAUCAAGCUUCCAUCAGAGCUGCCAUGCAUACCAUUGAGGAGAAAACUAAAGUAAAUGGUAAAACAUGUAUCCAUUUUACACCUCAUACCAACCAACGACAAUAUAUUAGAUUUGCAUCUGGAACAGGCUGUCAUACACCAGUUGGUAUGGGCCAUAGUGCGUCAACUGUAACAUUGGGAAGAGGUUGUUUGAGAAUUGGUACCAUCAUGCACGAGAUUAACCACGCCCUUGGAAGCUGGCAUGAACAGAGUCGACAUGACCGUGAUAGUUAUGUCACUAUUGAUUU